RNAcentral lists this ribosomal RNA (253 nucleotides) under uncultured bacterium. RNAcentral describes it as "partial 16S ribosomal RNA". It matches the Rfam family "Bacterial small subunit ribosomal RNA", at positions 524 to 776 of the family's 1533-position model. The record is from RNAcentral.
GACGGAGGGGGCAAGCGUUGUUCGGAAUUACUGGGCGUAAAGGGUGCGUAGGCUGUCGCGUGUGUCAGAGGUGAAAUCCCCGAGCUUAACUUGGGAACUGCCUUUGAAACUGCGCGACUUGAAUGAUAGAGAGGCAAGUAGAAUUCCGAGUGUAGAGGUGAAAUUCGUAGAUAUUCGGAGGAAUACCGGUGGCGAAGGCGGCUUGCUGGCUAUUUAUUGACGCUGAGGCACGAAAGCGUGGGGAGCAAACAGG